GAUGAAGAACGCAGUGAAAUGCGAUAAUUAAUGUGAAUUGCAGAAUUCCGUGAAUCAUCGAGUUUUUGAACGCAUAUUGCGCCCCUUGGUAUUCCGAGGGGCAUGCCUGUCCGAGCGUCAUUGCAACCCUUCAAGCACGGCUUGUGUGUUGGACGGCCGCCCCAGUGUGGGCGGGUCCCAAAUGCAGUGGCGGCGCCGCGAUCCGGGUGCUCGAGUGCAUGGAAACCACGCGCUCGUUAGGCCCCGUCGGGCGCCGGCCGACCUAAUUAUCUUCGUUCUGGUUGACCUCGGAUCAGGUAGGAAUACCCGCUGAACUUAAGCAUAUCAAUAAGCGGAGGA
Molecule: unclassified non-coding RNA, 339 nt
Filed under: soil metagenome
Description: partial contains 5.8S ribosomal RNA, internal transcribed spacer 2, and large subunit ribosomal RNA
Rfam family: 5.8S ribosomal RNA (bases 1-120)
Source: RNAcentral